This 495-nucleotide ribosomal RNA is filed under the name Cladosporium subtilissimum. RNAcentral's name for it is "eukaryotic LSU rRNA". The stretch from base 175 to 328 matches the Rfam family "5.8S ribosomal RNA". Lineage: Eukaryota; Fungi; Ascomycota; Dothideomycetes; Cladosporiales; Cladosporiaceae. The record is from RNAcentral.
CUGCGGAGGGAUCAUUAUAAGUUCACCCAGGCUUGUACAGCUGGGGACUGACAACCCUUUGAUUUCCGACUCUGUUGCCUCCGGGGCGACCCUGCCUUCGGGCGGGGGCUCCGGGUGGACACUUCAAACUCUUGCGUAACUUUGCAGUCUGAGUAAACUUAAUUAAUAAAUUAAAACUUUUAACAACGGAUCUCUUGGUUCUGGCAUCGAUGAAGAACGCAGCGAAAUGCGAUAAGUAAUGUGAAUUGCAGAAUUCAGUGAAUCAUCGAAUCUUUGAACGCACAUUGCGCCCCCUGGUAUUCCGGGGGGCAUGCCUGUUCGAGCGUCAUUUCACCACUCAAGCCUCGCUUGGUAUUGGGCAACGCGGUCCGCCGCGUGCCUCAAAUCGUCCGGCUGGGUCUUCUGUCCCCUAAGCGUUGUGGAAACUAUUCGCUAAAGGGUGUUCGGGAGGCUACGCCGUAAAACAACCCCAUUUCUAAGGUUGACCUCGGAUCA